Picea glauca (white spruce) is the source of this 129-nucleotide non-coding RNA. NCBI's taxonomy places the organism in Eukaryota, Viridiplantae, Streptophyta, Pinopsida, Pinales, Pinaceae. The record is from Rfam.
UCUUAUGCACAUGCCUACAACAUAGUGUUAAUGCACCAGAUCCCAUAAGAACUUCAAAGUUAAGCGCGCUCGGGCUAGAGUAGUACUGAGAUGUUUGACCACUCAAAAAGUCCUAGUACUUUAUAUGCC